RNAcentral lists this ribosomal RNA (387 nucleotides) under Triticum aestivum (bread wheat). RNAcentral describes it as "partial small subunit ribosomal RNA". The record is from RNAcentral. Lineage: Eukaryota; Viridiplantae; Streptophyta; Magnoliopsida; Poales; Poaceae.
AUGGGUGGUGCAUCAAGAGCAACUCACGACCUGCGGGAGCAGCUACGUGAUAUGUCAACUCGGAUGACGGUGUACGAGACUCGUCCAUCAGCGAGUGAUUUCCUGCUUGCAAGAUUUUUUUUCAAUGCGCCAUUCGUCUGCCUCGGCGGCUUCCGGAACACCCGCGGUGUGUAUGAGCUCGAGGAGGGCGAGGGGCAGGGGCUCGUGCUAGAGCUCGACGAGACACACUUCGAUUUCGGCACAAACUACGAGCUGGAGUGCGAGACCGCGGAGCCCGACCAGGCCAAGGAGGUCCUGGAGCGGCUGCUCACCGUGGUUGGGGUGCCGUAUGAGUACUCCCGGAGCAAUAAGUUCGCGUGCUUCAUGGCCGGGAAGCUGCUUCCAUGA